ACCAUAUCCAAUCCUCAACUGCUGUAUCAUGGGAUGGACUGUAUGCAAGAUGGAGAGGGAGCAGACCGGAAAGAUGUUCUGCAGUAGCAGAAAGAGCAGCUUUGAUUGGCUUCCUCAUAUCCCAUAUAAGUGAUUUCCCAUUGCACUGCAAAUGGCUUUCCCAGGAUGAAAUCUCUGACUGUACUACAAUAACCAUGUCGGAGAGUGCCUUUGCCUGAUA
Molecule: unclassified non-coding RNA, 220 nt
Filed under: Hevea brasiliensis (rubber tree)
Lineage: Eukaryota; Viridiplantae; Streptophyta; Magnoliopsida; Malpighiales; Euphorbiaceae
Source: RNAcentral